This 468-nucleotide ribosomal RNA is filed under the name uncultured bacterium. RNAcentral describes it as "partial 16S ribosomal RNA". It matches the Rfam family "Bacterial small subunit ribosomal RNA", at positions 28 to 507 of the family's 1533-position model. The record is from RNAcentral.
GACGAACGCUGGCGGCGUGCUUAACACAUGCAAGUCGAACGGAAAGGCCCUGCUUUUGUGGGGUGCUCGAGUGGCGAACGGGUGAGUAACACGUGAGUAACCUGCCCUUGACUUUGGGAUAACUUCAGGAAACUGGGGCUAAUACCGGAUAGGAGCUCCUGCUGCAUGGUGGGGGUUGGAAAGUUUCGGCGGUUGGGGAUGGACUCGCGGCUUAUCAGCUUGUUGGUGGGGGAGUGGCUUACCAAGGCUUUGACGGGUAGCCGGCCUGAGAGGGUGACCGGCCACAUUGGGACUGAGAGACGGACCAGACUCCUACGGGAGGCAGCAGUGGGGAAUAUUGCACAAUGGGGGGAAGCCUGAUGCAGCAACGCCGCGUGCGUGAUGACGUCCUUCGGGUUGUAAACCGCUUUCGCCUGUUACGAAGCGUUAGUGACGGUAAUGGGUAAAGAAGCACCGGCUAACUACGUG